GACGAACGCUUGCGGCGUGCUUAACACAUGCAAGUCGAACGGAAAGGCCCUGCUUUUGUGGGGUGCUCGAGUGGCGAACGGGUGAGUAACACGUGAGUAACCUGCCCUUGACUUUGGGAUAACUUCAGGAAACUGGGGCUAAUACCGGAUAGGAGCUCCUGCUGCAUGGUGGGGGUUGGAAAGUUUCGGCGGUUGGGGAUGGACUCGCGGCUUAUCAGCUUGUUGGUGGGGUAGUGGCUUACCAAGGCUUUGACGGGUAGCCGGCCUGAGAGGGUGACCGGCCACAUUGGGACUGAGAUACGGCCCAGACUCCUACGGGAGGCAGCAGUGGGGAAUAUUGCACAAUGGGCGGAAGCCUGAUGCAGCAACGCCGCGUGCGGGAUGACGGCCUUCGGGUUGUAAACCGCUUUCGCCUGUGACGAAGCGUGAGUGACGGUAAUGGGUAAAGAAGCACCGGCUAACUACGUGCCAGCAGCCGCGGUGAUACGUAGGGUGCGAGCGUUGUCCGGAUUUAUUGGGCGUAAAGGGCUCGUAGGUGGUUGAUCGCGUCGGAAGUGUAAUCUUGGGGCUUAACCCUGAGCGUGCUUUCGAUACGGGUUGACUUGAGGAAGGUAGGGGAGAAUGGAAUUCCUGGUGGAGCGGUGGAAUGCGCAGAUAUCAGGAGGAACACCAGUGGCGAAGGCGGUUCUCUGGGCCUUUCCUGACGCUGAGGAGCGAAAGCGUGGGGAGCGAACAGGCUUAGAUACCCUGGUAGUCCACGCUGUAAACGGUGGGUACUAGGUGUGGGGUCCAUUCCACGGGUUCCGUGCCGUAGCUAAUGCUUUAAGUACCCCGCCUGGGGAGUACGGCCGCAAGGCUAAAACUCAAAGGAAUUGACGGGGCCCCGCACAAGCGGCGGAGCAUGCGGAUUAAUUCGAUGCAACGCGUAGAACCUUACCUGGGUUUGACAUGGAUCGGGAGUGCUCAGAGAUGGGUGUGCCUCUUUUGGGGUCGGUUCACAGGUGGUGCAUGGCUGUCGUCAGCUCGUGUCGUGAGAUGUUGGGUUAAGUCCCGCAACGAGCGCAACCCUUGUUCACUGUUGCCAGCACGUUAUGGUGGGGACUCAGUGGAGACCGCCGGGGUCAACUCGGAGGAAGGUGGGGAUGACGUCAAGUCAUCAUGCCCCUUAUGUCCAGGGCUUCACGCAUGCUACAAUGGCUGGUACAGAGAGUGGCGAGCCUGUGAGGGUGAGCGAAUCUCGGAAAGCCGGUCUCAGUUCGGAUUGGGGUCUGCAACUCGACCUCAUGAAGUCGGAGUCGCUAGUAAUCGCAGAUCAGCAACGCUGCGGUGAAUACGUUCCCGGGGCU
RNAcentral lists this ribosomal RNA (1346 nucleotides) under uncultured bacterium. RNAcentral describes it as "partial 16S ribosomal RNA". It matches the Rfam family "Bacterial small subunit ribosomal RNA", at positions 28 to 1381 of the family's 1533-position model. The record is from RNAcentral.